GGAGGGAGUUGUCUAGUGGUAUGAUUCUCGCUUGGGUUGCGAGAGGUCGUGGGUUCAUUUCCCGCAACUCCCCCCA
RNAcentral lists this transfer RNA (76 nucleotides) under Chlamydomonas reinhardtii. Its description in RNAcentral is "tRNA-Pro". It matches the Rfam family "tRNA". From Rfam's summary of the family: Transfer RNA (tRNA) molecules are approximately 80 nucleotides in length. Lineage: Eukaryota; Viridiplantae; Chlorophyta; Chlorophyceae; Chlamydomonadales; Chlamydomonadaceae. The record is from RNAcentral.